This 260-nucleotide ribosomal RNA is filed under the name uncultured archaeon. Its description in RNAcentral is "partial 16S ribosomal RNA". It matches the Rfam family "Archaeal small subunit ribosomal RNA", at positions 748 to 1008 of the family's 1478-position model. The record is from RNAcentral.
CAGCCGUAAACAAUGUGCGUUAGGUGUGUCGGUAACCACGUGUUACUGAUGCGCCGAAGAGAAAUCGUGAAACGCACCACCUGGGAAGUACGGUCGCAAGGCUGAAACUUAAAGGAAUUGGCGGGGGAGCACCACAACAGGUGGAGCCUGCGGUUUAAUUGGAUUCAACGCCGGACAUCUCACCGGAUAAGACAGCUGAAUGAUUGUCAAUCUGAAGGUUUUACAUGACUAGCUGAGAGAGGUGCAUGGCGUCAGUGACU